AGACCGGUCUACUGGUCGUGCUUUUGUACGUACUGGUUUUAUUGGUUUCUCCUUUCUGACGAACUAUAAUGCCAUUAAUUUGGUGUUAUGGGGAAUUUGGACUGUUACUUUGAAAAAAUUAGAGUGUUUAAAGCAAGCUAACGCUUGAAUACAUUAGCAUGGAAUAAUGAAAUAGGACGUUCGAUCCUAUUUUGUUGGUUUCUAGGAUUGACGUA
Molecule: ribosomal RNA, 215 nt
Filed under: Campeiostachys nutans
Lineage: Eukaryota; Viridiplantae; Streptophyta; Magnoliopsida; Poales; Poaceae
Description: Elymus nutans partial small subunit ribosomal RNA
Rfam family: Eukaryotic small subunit ribosomal RNA (bases 46-215)
Source: RNAcentral